GGAGGCUGAUCCAGCCAUGCCGCGUGCAGGAAGAAUGCCCUAUGGGUAGUAAACUGCUUUUAUACGGGAAGAAAAAGGGCCACGUGUGCCCUGUUGACGGUACCGUAAGAAUAAGGACCGGCUAACUCCGUGCCAGCAGCCGCGGUAAUACGGAGGGUCCGAGCGUUAUCCGGAAUUAUUGGGUUUAAAGGGUCCGUAGGCGGGCCGUUAAGUCAGGGGUGAAAGUCUGCAGCUCAACUGUAGAACUGCCUUUGAUACUGAACGUCUUGAGUUAUGGUGAAGUUGGCGGAAUAUGUAGUGUAGCGGUGAAAUGCAUAGAUAUUACAUAGAACACCGAUUGCGAAGGCAGA
RNAcentral lists this ribosomal RNA (350 nucleotides) under uncultured Maribacter sp. RNAcentral's name for it is "bacterial SSU rRNA". It matches the Rfam family "Bacterial small subunit ribosomal RNA", at positions 378 to 725 of the family's 1533-position model. The record is from RNAcentral. Lineage: Bacteria; Pseudomonadati; Bacteroidota; Flavobacteriia; Flavobacteriales; Flavobacteriaceae.